Long non-coding RNA from Mus musculus (house mouse), 513 nucleotides. RefSeq annotates it as predicted gene 43403. The record is from RefSeq and is marked validated. NCBI's taxonomy places the organism in Eukaryota, Metazoa, Chordata, Mammalia, Rodentia, Muridae. The transcript is spliced from 2 exons.
AGCAACAGAGCGCUGCGCCACCGAGCGAGUGGACGGUGGUGUCACGUGCCUGGAGGGAGGAGCUGGAAGGCUGGGGAGGAGCGCGCGCUGGCGUCCUCCCCGCUGCAGCCUCCCCCCCUCCACUCCCCCGCGGUGCUCCGGAGACCACGUGAGCUUCCCUCCCGGUCUAGCCUGGCCCCCUCGCUGACAACCGGCGCCUCUCGGUUGCCCUCUGGCCUGGCCUUUCGUGUCCGCAGAUCUCGGUUUCCUUCAGAGUCCUGCCUUCUGACAGGUGGCUCGAAGGCGUCCGGCAAGAAGAGCUCAGCUCGGCCUCUACUUGGUGAACCACUUCCCUGAUAAAAGUGUCACCUACCCCACCCCCGGAAGCUUGGGAUGAAGCGGUUUUUUAUAAUGAAGUCACCGGCCAUAUUUUUGCGAAGACUUCGCAUCAAUGGGAUGCACCUAUAGCCUAGUGUCUAAAGUUGAUUUGUUGAAACAUUAAAGCUAUUAUGUGUCAGCUUUCCUACACUAAAA